CGAGGUCUUGUGUGGCGAACCGAAGAUUAAUCCGAGGACUUGAUGAUCCCACUUACACAAUUAUUCGCGGCGCUAAAAUUAAAAAAAAAAAAAUUAGAUCUGUUAUUGCUGAAAAAAAAUUAUUAUAGAAACACAAUUUGCAUUUACACCGUUUUAAUUUUAAUUUUAUACCUACAGAAAAUAUAGAAGGCCACACUUGUUAUUGUUGCACGCAGAUCAAGUAAACGUAGCUUCAAAGAUAUUGGUUGGAAUCAAACACAAACCUUAGAGUAUGUAAUUCAAUAUAUAAUUUUAUUUACCAAAAAGCGGCAGAAUCAUUCGGGAAAAGUGGAGGUCUUUAACAGGAAACGGAACUGAAACGGAAAAGUUCUAAGCUGCUGCUGUACGGAUAUUUUGUACUUCAGUCGAAACAACUAUUCAAGCAGCCGAAUAGUAAAUAUAAGAUGAUGUAAAUUGCAAACACGUUCUAACAAACUGUGGCGCAUUCAGAGAAAGUAAAUUCAUAGCUCCCUCUUGAGGACACUAAAAAAUCGAAAACUGGUUUUAAAACUCUAAAAUUCUCCGGUCCCAGGACUCCAGUACGUUCAGUUCAUGGAUAUAAACAUAAAAAGCCGCUUUAUUGUCAAUUUUAAUACAUUUUGCAUUUUAUGCGAUUUGCAGGGCAACUGAAUAAUCCUUUUCUUUGUCAUAAAAAAGUUCACAGUACUAGGGAUGGCGAAACAAAAAAUAAUAAAACAAGUAAGAAAGCUACAGUCGAAAGUGGCCCACUUUAAGAUACCCGUUUUCAAUAAAAGCGAAACAUUGCAGUAAUUUUGCUACAAUAUACCAAA
Molecule: long non-coding RNA, 830 nt
Organism: Drosophila sulfurigaster albostrigata
Lineage: Eukaryota; Metazoa; Arthropoda; Insecta; Diptera; Drosophilidae
Exons: 4
Source: RefSeq, a predicted model, not a curated record